GAUGCGCACACCUUCCUUUUUUAUACAACACUUGCCAACAAUAAUCUUUUUGGCCUAACUCCCAAAUAUAGUUGAAUGGAAACAAGUUAUGUCCUUCUGUUCCAACUCAAUCUAUUGAACAUGGCAGCUACAACUGUCACUAGUGCAAUCCCUAAUUCCCCAGUUCUUGACCAGUAUAACUAUGAAGAUUGGAGUUUCCGGAUUAAACUCUACUUGUUAGCUGAAGAUCUUUGGGACGUUGUGGAAGCCACCACCGAAACUCCUAAACGAGAAGAUGAUGAAGCUAAGUUUAAGGCUUGGAGGAAGAAAGAUGCCAAGGCUUUAAUUGUAAUCCAGAAUUAUUGCGGGUCUGCUAAUUACUCUUUAAUCUGGGGCACUGAGAUCGCCAAAGCUGCCUGGGAUACUUUGGCCGAAACGCUAAACCCAGCUCAAGGACCUGAAGGCGAUGCCAAUGACUUGUACAUGCCUUUCUUCCAAACUUUGUUAGACAAUGAUUGGGAUGCUGCCAUGGAGUAUGUUAGGCAACAUCCUGAGAAACUAAAUGCGACCUUUGAACAAUUCGACAAUGGGACAGCUCUUCAUUUCGUAGUCUCAAACGGGAGGUUUGAAAUUGCAAAAGAGUUGGUGCAGCUAAUGAGCGAGGAAGACUUAGAAAUACUAGACUCUAUUGGUCGAACAGCUCUACAUUUAGCUUUAUUACAUCGAGGAGAUUCCCAUGAAAUAGUUAAGUGCAUGGUUGAAAAGAACAAGAAAUUACUUAGCAUUCGUUUUAACAAUGAUGAAAUUGCAAUUCCAUUUGUCUUGGCGACUAUAGAAGGAAGGGUAGCAAUGUCUCAGUAUCUCUGUUCUGCCUCCCCACUGGAAACUCUGGAGGACCUUGCCUAUGCCGGUGUAGUUAUGUCUGCGUGUGUGGUGAAAAGCCGAUUUGAUAUUCUGUUGGAUUUAGUUCAGCGCCAUCCGAAGGCGGCUUUUACUGAAAACAAGUCUAAAGUAUGCACGUACCACCUACUCCUACUAUCAAUACCGAAAAAGAACCUACUAUCGAUGCCUUUAACGAUGCUCGUACUAAUGCUCAAAAACUAGAAGGCGAUCAAGCUAAUCAAAGGCAUCUUAUUUGCCUCAUUUGCAUACGAGUUGGGGAGUAUUGUACAUCCUGUACGUCGUGAAACUAAAAAUCUGAAGAUCGUAUGACACCAAGGGCCCUAUUUACCAAGAAGCAUAAGGAAUUGGUGAAAGACGGCGAAAAGUCAAUGAAAGAAACAGCAACUUCUUGUACCGUUCGAUGUUGUUACUUUUUUCAAUAAGCUUGUAAAGAAAAGACAACAGAUCGAAGUGUAUCAAUCCGUCAAUGUGGUCCACGCUUCUGUAGCAGAAUGACAAUUGAUCAUCUCAGAGAAAGCAUCAUCAGAAAGACUAGCAGCAAUGAGGUUCAAGAUUGUUGUAUCUAUAGCUUCCCAUUCCUUAGAAUCACCAUUAUUAGAAUCAGUAGGAGCCACAACAAUACCAUCAAGAAAUCCAGACAGGCGAUGAACUUUGAGAAAUUUUUCCACUUGAUAGCUCCAUUGAACGUAAUUACUCUCAUCAAGUUUCAGUGUAAUGUAAUCGCAUGCAUUAUGAAGCAAAUCCAACGGAGUAACAGAAUUCUUCCCCAUUUUAAGCAAAAUUAGGGUUUACAUAGUAAAAUACAGAGAUUGAAAUUGAGUUGCAGGAAAGGAACAAGGCAACCACAAGCAAGAAUGCUAAGAGAACGAAGAACAAGAUGCGAAAAUCUAGAAAAUAGAGAUGAGUCAACACAGAAGCCUUUGAAGAAAGCAAAAUCUCAAGCUCGAAGAACAGAGAGAUUCGAAUACCGGUUACCGGAGAAUGAAGCAGCGAAGCAAGGAUCGCCGAUGAUAAUCAGAGGCGCUCCUCU
RNA transcript from Prunus persica (peach), 1912 nucleotides. RefSeq lists it as uncharacterized. The record is from RefSeq and is a predicted model, not a curated record. The transcript is spliced from 7 exons. Lineage: Eukaryota; Viridiplantae; Streptophyta; Magnoliopsida; Rosales; Rosaceae.